CAGGCCUAACACAUGCAAGUCGAGCGGGCGUAGCAAUACGUCAGCGGCAGACGGGUGAGUAACGCGUGGGAACGUACCUUUUGGUUCGGAACAACCCAGGGAAACUUGGGCUAAUACCGAAUAAGCCCUUACGGGGAAAGAUUUAUCGCCGAAAGAUCGGCCCGCGUCUGAUUAGCUAGUUGGUGAGGUAACGGCUCACCAAGGCGACGAUCAGUAGCUGGUCUGAGAGGAUGAUCAGCCACAUUGGGACUGAGACACGGCCCAAACUCCUACGGGAGGCAGCAGUGGGGAAUAUUGGACAAUGGGCGCAAGCCUGAUCCAGCCAUGCCGCGUGAGUGAUGAAGGCCCUAGGGUUGUAAAGCUCUUUUGUGCGGGAAGAUAAUGACGGUACCGCAAGAAUAAGCCCCGGCUAACUUCGUGCCAGCAGCCGCGGUAAUACA
This 440-nucleotide ribosomal RNA is filed under the name uncultured Alphaproteobacteria bacterium. RNAcentral describes it as "bacterial SSU rRNA". It matches the Rfam family "Bacterial small subunit ribosomal RNA", at positions 43 to 527 of the family's 1533-position model. The record is from RNAcentral. Lineage: Bacteria; Pseudomonadati; Pseudomonadota; Alphaproteobacteria.